CUGGCACUGAUUUCCCUGUUACACUCCGGAGUGUGGGCAGAUAAUUUGUUGUAAUAUUCAUCGCGGCAUCUCCGGGAGAAGCCUGUGAAGCCAGCGAUGAUUACUGAAAAGGCACCCUAACAAUUUUUGAUUCACUUCAGCUCCUGAGCAUCAUCACACUCCACCCAUACAGGAACCAUUCUGUGGAGAUAAUCUUCAUUUUAAAGGACAUCUGUACAGACAACAGGAAAGCUAAGGCAAAGCUUUAAUGAAGAAGCAUCAGCACUGCUAACAACUGCACAAAGAGGGACCGAAGACCUUUUCGACCAAUGAUGUGGUUGUCAUGGAAACUAUUUCUGUUUCUGUCACUCACCGGGUGUCUUUCAGUGAAGAGACCUAAUGGAAUUAGCCCAAAUAUGUGAUGAAUUUGCUAUGGCUGACUAAAAAAAAAAAAAAAAGGAAAUCUCAUCUGGGACUUGAAUAAUUUCCAAGAACAAAAGCAGUAUGGUUCACUGUAUGAUAAGGAUAACCAGGAUCUCUCCACAGCAGUGUGAUAUGUGACUUAAAAGUGGUACUCUUUCAUAUUACUG
This 569-nucleotide long non-coding RNA is filed under the name Chrysolophus pictus (golden pheasant). Its description in RNAcentral is "lncRNA (ENSCPIG00010014188.1)". The record is from RNAcentral. Lineage: Eukaryota; Metazoa; Chordata; Aves; Galliformes; Phasianidae.